RNAcentral lists this unclassified non-coding RNA (329 nucleotides) under soil metagenome. RNAcentral describes it as "partial contains 5.8S ribosomal RNA, internal transcribed spacer 2, and large subunit ribosomal RNA". The stretch from base 1 to 120 matches the Rfam family "5.8S ribosomal RNA", at positions 35 to 154 of the family's 154-position model. The record is from RNAcentral.
GAUUAAGAACGCAGCGAAAUGCGAUAAGUAGUGUGAAUUGCAGAAUUCAGUGAAUCAUCGAAUCUUUGAACGCACAUUGCGCCCCUUGGUAUCCCGAGGGGCAUGCCUGUUCGAGCGUCAUUUCACCACUCAAGCCUGGCUUGGUGUUGGGCGACGUCCCCUUUGGGGACGCGCCUCGAAACGCUCGGCGGCGUGGCACCGGCUUUAAGCGUAGCAGAAUCUUUCGCUUUGGAAGUCGGGGCCCCGUCUGCCGGAAGACCUACUCGCAAGGUUGACCUCGGAUCAGGCAGGGAUACCCGCUGAACUUAAGCAUAUCAAUAAGCGGAGGA